UUAAAUUGAAGAGUUUGAUCAUGGCUCAGAUUGAACGCUGGCGGCAGGCCUAACACAUGCAAGUCGAGCGGAAACGAGUUAUCUGAACCUUCGGGGAACGAUAACGGCGUCGAGCGGCGGACGGGUGAGUAAUGCCUAGGAAAUUGCCCUGAUGUGGGGGAUAACCAUUGGAAACGAUGGCUAAUACCG
RNAcentral lists this ribosomal RNA (189 nucleotides) under Vibrio parahaemolyticus. Its description in RNAcentral is "partial 16S ribosomal RNA". It matches the Rfam family "Bacterial small subunit ribosomal RNA", at positions 1 to 171 of the family's 1533-position model. The record is from RNAcentral. Lineage: Bacteria; Pseudomonadati; Pseudomonadota; Gammaproteobacteria; Vibrionales; Vibrionaceae.